UACGUAGGAGGCAAGCGUUGUCCGGAAUUACUGGGUGUAAAGCGCGUGUAGGCGGCAGGCCAAGUCUGUGGUGAAAUCGCUCGGCUCAACUGGGCGGGGUCCAUGGAAACUGGUCAGCUGGAGGACGGUAGAGGUGAGUGGAAUUCCCGGUGUAGUGGUGAAAUGCGUAGAGAUGUGGAGGAACACCAAUGGCGAAGGCAGCCUUCUGGGCCAACACUGACGCUCAUGCACGAAAGCGUGGGGAGCAAACAGG
This 253-nucleotide ribosomal RNA is filed under the name uncultured bacterium. RNAcentral describes it as "partial 16S ribosomal RNA". It matches the Rfam family "Bacterial small subunit ribosomal RNA", at positions 524 to 776 of the family's 1533-position model. The record is from RNAcentral.